GUAACAAGUCUCCGUAGGUGAACCUGCGGAGGGAUCAUUGAAUCUAUCGUAUUGUAUACCCGCUAACCCAGACGUUGUGUUCCCUCGGUGCGGGCCCCUUUGUGGGACCGCCCGAGCGCUUGUUCCUGGCCCAGCCACUGGCCGACCCGUUUGCGGUCGGUGAAGCCUGGGCAAAGGUCUUGCGGUGUGGGACCCUGCCUCUCCCCAGGGAGAGGGGGGCUGGCCUUCACGGCUGGCCUCGCCCGCUGGACAAAAUACCCACUCUAACCACACACCAAACAAAGCUGAAGCUUGAGGAAGCCUCACGGCCGACUCACAAACCUAGACAACUCUCAACAACGGAUAUCUUGGCUCCCGCAACGAUGAAGAACGCAGCGAAAUGCGAUACUUAAUGUGAAUUGCAGAAUUCCGUGAAUCAUCGAGUCUUUGAACGCAUAUUGCGCCCGAGGCUUCGGUCAAGGGCAUGUCUGCCUCAGCGUCGGUUGACCCCUCUCGUCCAAUUCCCUCGUGGAAGCAGACGGACCUGGCAGUCCCGCUGGCGACAGCGGGUCUGCUGCAGAACAGACGACGAGCCAGCCGCAGCGCCCGCUCGAUUGGUAGGUUUUCUCCGGAAGACAUGCCGUCGAGUAGCCUGGGGACCAACUGCUCGUCCUACCAACGAAGGGGGAGCGCGCAAGCCAUCCCCCUGACUCUCAUUU
This 698-nucleotide unclassified non-coding RNA is filed under the name Chloroidium saccharophilum. Its description in RNAcentral is "sequence contains 5.8S rRNA gene, ITS2". The stretch from base 328 to 481 matches the Rfam family "5.8S ribosomal RNA". Lineage: Eukaryota; Viridiplantae; Chlorophyta; Trebouxiophyceae; Watanabeales; Watanabeaceae. The record is from RNAcentral.